RNAcentral lists this ribosomal RNA (390 nucleotides) under uncultured bacterium. Its description in RNAcentral is "bacterial SSU rRNA". It matches the Rfam family "Bacterial small subunit ribosomal RNA", at positions 28 to 415 of the family's 1533-position model. The record is from RNAcentral.
GACAAACGCUGGCGGCGUGCUUAACACAUGCAAGUCGAACGGUACUCCUUAGGGAGUAUAGUGGCGGACGGGUGAGUAACACGUAGUCAACCUACCCUGAAGUGGGGAAUAACCCCUCGAAAGAGGAGCUAAUACCGCAUACGCUCUCUGGUGAUAGCCAAAGAGGAAACUUUCUUCGUGACAGAGGAGAGACUUUAGGAUGGGACUGCGGCGGAUUAGCUAGAUGGUGGGGAACGGCCUACCAUGGCGACGAUCCGUAGCUGGUCUGAGAGGACGACCAGCCACACUGGGACUGAGACACGGCCCAGACUCCUACGGGAGGCAGCAGUGAGGAAUAUUCCACAAAUGGGCGCAAGCCUGAUGGAGCGACGCCGCGUGGGGGAAGAAGCC